CGCGCACGGAUGGCUUUUGGGAAGCAUCAGGAGCGUCAACAGAGCCAGGCGGGGAGUUUGGCUGGGGCGGCACAUUUGUAAAAGAAUAACGCAAAUGUCCCAAGGUGAGCUCAGUGAGAACAGAAAUCUCACGUAGAGCAAAAGGGCAAAAGCUCACUUGAUUCGGGCUUCCAGUAGGAGUGCGAACCGAGAAAUCGUGGCCUAUCGAUCCUUUGGCGCUUGCAAGUGUCAAGGCAGAGGUGUCAGAAAAGUUACCACAGGGAUAACUGGCUUGUGGCAGCCAAGCGCUCAUAGCGACGUUGCUUUUGAUCCUUCGAUGUCGGCUCUUCCUAUCAUUGUGAAGCAGUAUUCACAAAGCGUUGGAUUGUUCACCCACUAACAGGGAACGUGAGCUGGGUUUAGACCGUCGUGAGACAGGUUAGUUUACCCUACUGAUGGAGUGUCGUUGCAGGAGUAAUUCAACAAAGUACGAGAGGAACCGUUGAUUCGGAUCAAUGG
This 498-nucleotide ribosomal RNA is filed under the name uncultured eukaryote. RNAcentral's name for it is "eukaryotic LSU rRNA". It matches the Rfam family "Eukaryotic large subunit ribosomal RNA", at positions 2580 to 3063 of the family's 3401-position model. The record is from RNAcentral.